ACGGAAGGCAGCAGUGGGGAAUAUUGCACAAUGGGCGCAAGCCUGAUGCAGCCAUGCCGCGUGUAUGAAGAAGGCCUUCGGGUUGUAAAGUACUUUCAGUCGUGAGGAAGGUGUUAAGGUUAAUAACCUUAGCAAUUGACGUUAGCGACAGAAGAAGCACCGGCUAACUCCGUGCCAGCAGCCGCGGUAAUACGGAGGGUGCGAGCGUUAAUCGGAAUUACUGGGCGUAAAGGGCACGCAGGCGGUUAAUUAAGUUGGAUGUGAAUCCCCGGGCUUAACCUGGGAAUGGCAUUCAAGACUGGUUAGCUAGAGUCUUGUAGAGGGGGUAGAAUUCCAUGUGUAGCGGUGAAAUGCGUAGAGAUGUGGAGGAAUACCGGUGGCGAAGGCGGCCCCUGGACAAAGACUGACGCUCAUGUGCGAAAGCGUGGGGAGCAAACAGGAUUAGAUACC
Molecule: ribosomal RNA, 450 nt
Filed under: uncultured bacterium
Lineage: Bacteria
Description: bacterial SSU rRNA
Rfam family: Bacterial small subunit ribosomal RNA
Source: RNAcentral